ACAGUAUGAUAUCACAAUCAAAGAAGCACAAAGAGAAACUUGACGUAAACAAUCUUUUCACCGCAGAUGAUGUGUAGUAAGAGGCUAGACAUCAUCAGCAUCACCACCUCUGUUAUUACCUUUUCUAGAGUCGUACAGCAGAUUUCUGUACGAGAACAAAAAUGUCAGUUCUGGGAAAUCUUUCUACGUUGUGCUUAUAGUACAUACCGGUUCUAUGUUAUACAGUAUGUGACAUACAACUGGUAUAUACUAUACUUUAACUUUUUCUUCAUUGUAAUAAUAAUUUUAAAUAAAAUAAAUAUUAAAAGUAAUUAUACAGUACU
RNAcentral lists this long non-coding RNA (323 nucleotides) under Androctonus crassicauda. Lineage: Eukaryota; Metazoa; Arthropoda; Arachnida; Scorpiones; Buthidae. The record is from RNAcentral.